Molecule: long non-coding RNA, 5491 nt
Organism: Neoarius graeffei (lesser salmon catfish)
Lineage: Eukaryota; Metazoa; Chordata; Actinopteri; Siluriformes; Ariidae
Exons: 3
Source: RefSeq, a predicted model, not a curated record
UCCUAAUAUUAGACAUAUUUAUGUAAAUAUUAAAGAUAUAUGAAAAAUAAGUCAAAUAUUCUUAUAUAUUCCAAUUUUCAAAUCCAUUGUGGUGCUGGUGUUCAGAGGCAAAAUCACAAAAAUGGUCAAUGUCCAAAUACUUACAGACCUGACUGUAUAUUCACACACCGGCCAGCCGUAUGAGACCCCAGGCCAUGUGUUUAGAGUUCACGUUAAAAUAGCGUGAGGGUCUGAGAAACGUACAGGUAUCCGAGUCUCCUGAUAAUAAACCCAAAGUCAAGAUGAGAAGAAAACACAGGAAGAACAGAAUAUACUCUAAUCCCCAGGUGGAUAGCAGUUUACGAGGCAAAACAUACCGUCGAAUAUAGAGGUGUGACGAUUUAUCGAUCCAUUUCAAUCCGUGCUUCAAAAAUCGAUUAAAAUUUAAUGAUUCACGAACAAUACCUAAUUUCAUCCCGAUAACUCUAGAUGCGUAACAGAUUUUGACAAACGGCAUAAUUUUGAAAUAAAAAAUUCGAUUCGGUAUCCGGACCUGUACGCGGGCGCAGCCAUGUUUGUGGUUACUAUAGACCCUUUUCACGUGAUGUCACGACAAACAUGGCCGCCAUUUUGGACAUGUACUACCAGUAGUUUACCACAGCCAACAUUGAGGAACGGCAGCAAAGAAAGUGUUUACUUUCAGUAAGACUUCCAUCAUGCCACUAUAUUGUUGUGCACCUGGAUGUAGUAACCAUCAACAAACAAGGCAAGGUUUAUCAUUUUAUCAGAUCCCGACGGAGAAGAUGGAUAGCGGCCAUUAACAGAUUGGCAGCCCUCGGCAUACCAGCGCUUGUGUAGUGACCACUUUGUUGGAGGUAAGACGAAUAAAAUUAGCCAGAAAAGGCAUUACAUUGCUGUUAGCAUUCUGUGGCAGCGAGUGUGUAACCAAAUAGGCUAAAAUAACCCAUUGCAACCUCUGUUCUUCUGUAGUAGCUAUUAGCUAACGACAUUAGCUAGCGUUGUGUUCCUUUGCUGUUGGUAGACUGUAGGACAGAUCAGAGGCAGUGUCCUACAAACAGCGCUUAAUUUGAGGGGGAGCAAGCCGGAGCGCGCUCCGGAACCUCGGGCGUUGGCUCCGGCAGCUAUUUACACUGGAUCCGGUGAUCCGACACCUCUUUUGACUAUGUAACAAAAAAAACAAAUAAUUAAAUAAAAAAAUGCAAGUUUAUUUAGUGUUAAUGUCUGAUUUUGAUAUCUGUCUUGUUGGUGAUUUCUCUCAUGAAACGACAUCCACAAAAUAUCUGCAGAUGAACUUAAUUUGCAGUGUUAUUACAAAACAUGCCCAGAAGCGCAGCACCGCGCCGCGCCCCCCUCUCCCCCUCUUUUUUUCCGCACCGGAGCCGCUCAUCCUCUGCGCUCCGGGACCUCCCACUUUACAAAUUAAGCACUGCCUACAAAUAAGUGUCCAAAAUAAGAGGAACAUGUAUUUGUCUCUUAAAUCCAGGCCGUUCCCUGUAAUCUGUAACAACGGUUGGAGAAAGUAAUGGCAAAUAGUGAGUGGACAAACCAUAGAAGGUAAACUGUACACAGCGCCAGGGCAGUGUGAUGGUAUGUCUACUUUUAGAUUGUGUUAGCUUAUCAAUGAACACACUCGUCACUCGACGAGUUUCACGUCUUUACGACGGAUACUUUAAUGUGUGUUAGGUAUUAUUGUUGCAGUCUAAGCAGUCAUUGUAGCAGCUAGAUGAGCGAGAACCGAAAGGGUCUGUGCCAUAAACCGUUAUUUCUGUACGGCGUUGCUAAUGUGUCGUUACUGUUGUUAUUUCUCCCUCUGCUCGCCCUGUAAAUGCCCUACGUCGCUGGAUAGCGAAGGUGUUUUCUGCAUCUCGCUCCUUUUUCUUGUAUGUUCUCCGUUUGUCGCCUUCCUCGCAUUCAAACCAAUUCGAGCCGAAGUCCGCUACAUGUCCAAAAUGGUGGUCGCGUUUAUGAAGGUCACGUGACUGAAAAGGGUCUAUAGCAGUCUCAUGAGAUCACGUCCUGCUUUGUGAACAACAUGGCGGACGACUUGGAAUUCCUGAAGCCACCAGAUUUUAAAAUCCCAGUUUGGCUGCAUUUCUUACAAUCUCGUGACCGGAAACAAGUGUUGUAUAAACUGUGCGAGUCUAAGUUUCCUCAUCAUGGCAAUAAAUUAUUGCUGUCUGAGAACUUUAUUGAAUCUCAGUGCCUCGUGUACUGUCUGGAUAAUAAGUGUUGCGUCUCAAGAGGUGGUCUUCACUUUUACACAAGUGACUGUAUUUUUGUGUUUUUAAAAGAUUGAGACAAAAGUCAUGAAGUUUUCGUUGCUUUUUUUUUUUUUUUAUCCCCCGCUGGCCGAAAGGCCCGAAGGGGGAUUAUGUCGUGGCGAUGUCCGUCCAUCCCGGGAAGGGUGCUUACCUUCUGAAAUCAGCUCCUCUCACAAUUUUUGGAUGAAUUUCUCGAAGCUUGGCAAAAGGCCUUGUUAUAUGAUGGUGAUCCGCAGAUUGCGAUUUAAUUUAAUUUGUGAAAAUUUUACCAGAGUUUUGACCCUUGAUUAAAUAACUCGUACUUUGACAAUUUCAUGAGGGUGUACGUUCUUCUGAAAUCAACUCCUCUCUCAAUUUGUGGAGGAAUUUCACCAAACUUGGCAAAAGGCUUUGGUAUAUGACACUUAUGAUUGAAAUUUCGUUUAAUUUGGGCAAAUUUUACCAGAGUUAUACCCUUGAUUAUUAACAAACUUGUACUUUGGCAAGUUCAUCAAGGUGUGCUUGCUUUCUGAAAUCAACGUCCCUCACAAUUUUUAUCCCCCGCUGGCCGAAAGGCCCGAAGGGGGAUUAUGUCGUGGCCAUGUCCGUCCGUCCAUCCCGGGAAGGGUACUCACCUUCUGAAAUCAACUCCUUUCACAAUUUUUGGAGGAAUUUCACAAAACUUGGCAGGAUUCUUCGUUAUAUGUCGGUAAUACGCAUCUUCCAAUUUCGUUCAAUUCAGUCGCAUUUUACCAGAGUUAUGGCCAAGUUGCCAGCGGGGGAUAUUUUUUUGUGGUUUGAAAAUUAAAAUGUACCAAAAAUGACUGAACUGUGAUACAUUCAUAGUUACAUUCAAAGUCAAUGGAUUGACUGGAGUCUGAAUAAAGACUACAAAGGCAACACUGUUUGUUUUUUAAUGCUCGACAUUUCUACGCUGACAGUUAACAAAAUAUUGACAAAAAAUGUGAAUCGUGAUUCGAAUCGAAUCGGAAGGUCAAACUCGUGAAUUGAAUCAUGAAAAAACAGCUUCGUCACACCUCAAAAGCGUCGCCACGUGAAAAGUACAAGUCACAUUGGAAAAAAAUUUCAUCACAAGAAGCGUCACAAGGCUUCUGCGAAGACAGUCAUGUCUUUUUUACGGUGUGGGAUCUGUCACCAUUUUAAAACUGCCAUCAUGUCUGUUUUUGACAUAAACUUCUUCAGAGCUUCAGACAGUUAAUGCACGUUUUACUCAACACUCUUUGCCCUUACAGGCGAUUUAAAGAAAAACUGUAAGUCAGCUGACGGUGAGAGCGAUGCUGAGGGACAGACAACACAUUUAUCUACCUUUUGAUUUUGAAAUUGUCCGUGUAUAGGUUGGAAAUUGCAUAAAAAAGCAUAAAACUUAAACUGUGAUUUUGUAAAAACCCGUAAUAGCUUUCAAAACAUUGACUUAACCCAGAAAUUCUCAAGUCAUGUGACCUGUUUAAAGUUUCACCAAUGUGUCUGUGUUGAGUUCUGACGGCACAGUGCGGGGUGGGUUUGAUUUGAUUUUGACGACGACUCCCCAUUCAUUCCUAUAUGAGAAAUUUUUGCAGUCCCCCCCCUUGUCGUCGCCAUGGUUACUCGAAACACUGAGAAAAGAUAUAGCACACCAUUCCUGAUCGAACCGCAUGUUUUGAUGUAGGGGUUUUCUCAAAGCUGCGGGAUUAGUUAGAUGCCGAAAUUUUGGCGGAAGAGGAAAAAGAAUAAUAAUAAUAAUAAGCCUGAGCGAGGGCAGCACGGUGGUGUAGUGGUUAGCGCUGUCGCCUCACAGCAAGAAGGUCCAGAUUCGAGCCCCGUGGCCGGCGAGGGCCUUUCUGUGUGGAGUUUGCAUGUUCUCCCCGUGUCCACGUGGGUUUCCUCCGGGUGCUCCGGUUUCCCCCACAGUCCAAAGACAUGCAGGUUAGGUUAACUGGUGACUCUAAAUUGAGCGUAGGUGUGACUGUGAGUGUGAAUGGUUGUCUGUGUCUAUGUGUCAGCCCUGUGAUGACCUGGCGACUUGUCCAGGGUGUACCCCGCCUUUCGCCCGUAGUCAGCUGGGAUAGGCUCCAGCUUGCCUGCGACCCUGUAGAACAGGAUAAAGCGGCUAGAGAUAAUGAGAUGAGAUGAGAAGCCUGAGCAAUUGUAAUAUAUGCUUUGCUUUGUAUAGCAGGUACAUAAGGACGAAAUGGAUAAAAAAAAUCUGAAGCUGGUGGUUUAGAAAUGAAAAGUUCAGACGUGUGUGUGCAUUACGUACAUGGAUAAAUGUUUUAUGAGCGCAUACAUGCAACAUCAGUUUGUGUGAGUGAAAACAUACGAACCGGGAUGGAUCUUAAUCACUGAAUCAUGGGUUUUAAUCAUAGAGGGGGAAAAAUGGACAUGCGGAAAGACCUGAGCGACUUUGACAAGGGCCAGAUUGUGAUGGCGAAGCGACUGGGUCUGAGCGUCUCUGAAACGGCGGAUCUCGUGGGAUGUUCCGAGUUUGCCGUGCAAGAGAUCAUGAGCGAGACGGACAAGGACAAGGACGCCGUCUCGACGAAAGAGAAGGUUGGAGCGGGGGCGGAGAAGAGAAGCAGACGUAAACCGCGAAAGAACCCAUAGAUCUGAGACGAUCCCAUCACGGCUUCCAGUCUGCAGGGGAUCAUCCUGGCAUCUCACACCACAAGUAUCUUUCUCGGACAAGAAAAUACCUGUCUGUGUGUGUGUGUGUGUGUGUGUGUGUGUGUGUGUGUAAUAUACGUAUUGCACACACUGAGAUGAAGUCUGUUUGAAGGUUUACUUGAAGACCCGGAUCCGGAUAAGCAGUAGAAAAUGGAUGGAUGGAGGGUUUACUUGAAGACAGUUGAGCGCUGACUGAAGAUUAAUGAAUGAAUUUGAAACUUUGCUCGUUUUACACUUAAUUCAUGCACUUGUGUGUCAUGCAGUGUGGUUUAUGUUUUUAUAUAUAAACUCAAUGUUGUUUCUAUCGUAAGAACUCAUUCAUAUGCAUUUUGUACAGUAAACACUCCACAUAAUCUAUGACUGAUAAUAAACAUGAGAAAAAAAACACAAUUGUUAUUUAACAAGGAAAAAUUUGUAAUCAUUGAUGUGAAGUUUUCUGUCAGGAGAAAUGUGUUUAUUGGAUAUUUAUGGAAGGAGCCUCCACUGCCAGGACUUCGAGGUAAAGCUGUAAAGUUGGACGUUUUCUGGUUCUUUUUUUUUUUUAUCUACUCUAAUGUGCAUUUUAUAUUUUGUUCUUUGGUAGUAAAAAU